UGUGAGCUGCUGUGGAGAAGGCUCUGUCCCCAAAACUCCAAAAGUUGGACUUUUGGAUGCAGAGGAGACCGACUGAGGUGGAUCUGAGGGACUGUGAGGGUGGAUAGGGGGAGAGGAGGUUGGUGAUGUAUGAGGGGGCCAGAUGGUGGAGGGCUCUGUAGGUGAGGACCAGGAUUUUGCAGGUGAUCCAGUGGGAGAUGGGAAGCCAGUGGAGUUGUUUCAGGAAUAGAGGGAUGUGGUGCCAGGGUGUGGGGCGGGUAAUAAGGCAGGCGGCUGCGUUCUGGACCAGUUGGAGUUGGUUGAUAUAGGCAGAGCUGAUGACGAGGAAAAGUGAGUUGCAGUACUCCAGUCGGGAGGAGAUGAAGGCGUGAAUGAGUCUUUCCCCAGCGGGGGGUGUGAGAGAGGGUCUGAUUUUGGCGAUGUUGCGGAGCUGAA
Long non-coding RNA from Etheostoma cragini (Arkansas darter), 435 nucleotides. RefSeq lists it as uncharacterized. The transcript has 3 exons. The record is from RefSeq and is a predicted model, not a curated record. NCBI's taxonomy places the organism in Eukaryota, Metazoa, Chordata, Actinopteri, Perciformes, Percidae.